UGGGGAAUUUUGGACAAUGGGCGAAAGCCUGAUCCAGCAAUGCCGCGUGUGUGAAGAAGGCCUUCGGGUUGUAAAGCACUUUUGUCCGGAAAGAAAUCCUUGGCUCUAAUACAGUCGGGGGAUGACGGUACCGGAAGAAUAAGCACCGGCUAACUACGUGCCAGCAGCCGCGGUAAUACGUAGGGUGCAAGCGUUAAUCGGAAUUACUGGGCGUAAAGCGUGCGCAGGCGGUUUGCUAAGACCGAUGUGAAAAUCCCCGGGCUCAACCUGGGAACUGCAUUGGUGACUGGCAGGCUAGAGUAUGGCAGAGGGGGGUAGAAUUCCACGUGUAGCAGUGAAAUGCGUAGAGAUGUGGAGGAAUACCGAUGGCGAAGGCAGCCCCCUGGGCCAAAUACUGACGCUCAUGCACGAAAAGCGUGGGGAGCAAAACAGGAUUAGAUACCCUGGUAGUCCACGCCCUAAAACGAUGUCAACUAGUUGUUGGGGAUUCAUUUCCUUAGUAACGUAGCUAACGCGUGAAGUUGACCGCCUGGGGAGUACGGUCGCAAGAUUAAAAACUCAAAGGAAUUGACGGGGUCAUAGCUGUUUCCU
RNAcentral lists this ribosomal RNA (591 nucleotides) under uncultured bacterium. RNAcentral describes it as "partial 16S ribosomal RNA". It matches the Rfam family "Bacterial small subunit ribosomal RNA", at positions 355 to 1375 of the family's 1533-position model. The record is from RNAcentral.